CAACUCGACUACAUGAAGCUGGAAUCGCUAGUAAUCGCGGAUCAGAAUGCCGCGGUGAAUACGUUCCCGGGUCUUGUACACACCGCCCGUCACACCAUGGGAGUCGGAAAUGCCCGAAGUCUGUGACCCAACCUUAGGGAGGGAGCAGCCGAAGGCAGGUCGGAUGACUGGGGUGAAGUCGUAACAAGGUAGC
RNAcentral lists this ribosomal RNA (193 nucleotides) under uncultured bacterium. RNAcentral's name for it is "partial 16S ribosomal RNA". It matches the Rfam family "Bacterial small subunit ribosomal RNA", at positions 1308 to 1500 of the family's 1533-position model. The record is from RNAcentral.